Molecule: transfer RNA, 73 nt
Filed under: Corynebacterium sp. NML 120412
Lineage: Bacteria; Bacillati; Actinomycetota; Actinomycetes; Mycobacteriales; Corynebacteriaceae
Also listed under: 2 other names
Description: tRNA-Val
Rfam family: tRNA
About the family: Transfer RNA (tRNA) molecules are approximately 80 nucleotides in length. Their secondary structure includes four short double-helical elements and three loops (D, anti-codon, and T loops).
Source: RNAcentral
GCGCCGUUAGCUCAGCUGGGAGAGCAACUGGUUUACACCCAGUAGGUCGGGGGUUCGAGCCCCUCAUGGCGCA